Molecule: ribosomal RNA, 253 nt
Filed under: uncultured bacterium
Lineage: Bacteria
Description: partial 16S ribosomal RNA
Rfam family: Bacterial small subunit ribosomal RNA
Source: RNAcentral
UACAGAGGGUACAAGCGUUGCUCGGAAUUAUUGGGCGUAAAGGGCAGGUAGGUGGUCUCGUUUGUCGCGGGUGAAAUCCCUGAGCUUAACUCAGGAAGUGCCCUCGAAACGGCGAGACUAGAGUUCUGGAGAGGGUCGUGGAAUUCCCGGUGUAGCGGUGAAAUGCGUAGAGAUCGGGAGGAACACCAGAGGCGAAAGCGGCGACCUGGACAGAUACUGACACUCAACUGCGAAAGCGUGGGGAGCAAACAGG